This 254-nucleotide ribosomal RNA is filed under the name uncultured bacterium. RNAcentral's name for it is "partial 16S ribosomal RNA". It matches the Rfam family "Bacterial small subunit ribosomal RNA", at positions 114 to 354 of the family's 1533-position model. The record is from RNAcentral.
CGCGUGGAGAACCUGCCGUAUACUGGGGGAUAACACUUAGAAAUAGGUGCUAAUACCGCAUAAGCGCACAGCUUCGCAUGAAGCAGUGUGGAAAACAAAAAGCUAAAGCUUUUGGUGGUAUACGAUGGAUCCGCGUCUGAUUAGCUUGUUGGCGGGGUAAAGGCCCACCAAGGCGACGAUCAGUAGCCGGCCUGAGAGGGUGAACGGCCACAUUGGGACUGAGACACGGCCCAAACUCCUACGGGAGGCAGCAG